GUAAAAUAAACUUUCUGUUCGAUUUUGGGGCCCUCGUGAUGUGGGGGCCCCGGGCAACUGCUCCGUAUACCCCUGCCUUUGUCAUGCUCGGCUGACCUGUGCAAUCUCAAUGGAAAGCCCAUCAGAUGGUUUUAGAAAUUUGCUACCCAGUCAUAAACUUUCCCUUAUUUCUCACGUUAUAUGUGGCAUCGGUUUUGCGACUGUCAUCUACGUUUAAAUUUGGUGCAGACGAUUACAUCCUUAUGUAAUGCCAGAUAUAAUUAUCACUUUGUCGCCUUAUUAAAUGCUUUCUCAUUGUAUGAACUUGUUUCGUUCCACUUGAAUUAUUUCAAGUAACUUUUUUAACUCCUCUGCACCAAAUUUUAUUGCUGUCAUCAUUGACAUAUUUAUUGACCUGAAUUUUAUGUAUUUAUAGAGCAGUUUUUUUUAAUACUAUUUUAUAUAUGCCAGCAGCUAGUAUUUUUCAGAAAAUUACUUACUGAUGAUUACAGGUAAAGAUGUCGUUUUGUGCGUGGAUUAGCGAUGAAAAGUAUCGGGAUACAUUCAAAACAGAAACUAUUCAUGAAGACAGUGUUGUAAAAAGAAAAGAAGCAUUUAGGCCUUCUCUUACCUAUAAAGUAUCUUGUGGCAAAUGUGGAUAUGGAUUGGGCCAUGAAUUUGUUGGCGAUGGCCCUGAUGAGAAAUCAAGAUUCU
This is a long non-coding RNA of Stegodyphus dumicola, 693 nucleotides long. The record is from RefSeq and is a predicted model, not a curated record. Lineage: Eukaryota; Metazoa; Arthropoda; Arachnida; Araneae; Eresidae.